Molecule: microRNA precursor, 208 nt
Filed under: Oryza sativa Japonica Group (Japanese rice)
Lineage: Eukaryota; Viridiplantae; Streptophyta; Magnoliopsida; Poales; Poaceae
Description: MIR812 microRNA precursor family
Rfam family: MIR812 microRNA precursor family
Source: Rfam by way of RNAcentral
AAUAAGUGCAGUUUUGCACUAUUCACGUUCAACGUUUGACCGUCCGUCUUAUUUGAAAAUUUUUUAUGAUUAGUAUUUUUAUUGCUAUUAGAUGAUAAAACAUGAAUAGUACUUUAUGUGUGACUAAAUGUUUUUAAUUUUUUAUAAAUUUUUCAAAUAAGACGGACGGUCAAACGUUGAACGUGAAUAGUGCAAAACUGCACUUAUU